UUCUACAAGUUUUCCGGAGGAGAAACGUGACGGCAUGAAUGACGAUAGUGCCCUAAGUGAUGAAGAAAAGAAAGAGUUAGACAUUACUGUAGACAGUGUUAAAGAUCAUCUAGCGAAUUUGUCUGUGGAAGAUAACUCCUUUGUAUCAGUUGAACUUACUCACUGUUCAAAAACUAUAAAGACCCAAGAGACCAAUACAACAAUUGCCAGCGAGGUAAUUAACCGUGCUACAGUCCAAGCUGAGUAACUGGACAUGUACUGAUGAAGGGAGUUUAGUACAAGUGUUCCUUUUUCUGUGCACUGACUUUUGGUAUUUGACUUUUUGUUACUUUUCUACUUUUGCUCUUUGGAGGGGGUCAUCCACUGUGUGAUCACUGUUGGUUUAAUGCUGAAUUGUGGAGAAACAGAAGCAGAAAUUCUCUUUCAGUUUCUUCUUCAAAAAGUAGAAUUUAUCAUUGCCUACAUAUUCAUUCCAUGAAUUUAUUUUAGAACUUUUUUUUACACUAAUGAUUUUGUAUUUUGUGAUUUCUAAGCAGCUGUUAGAACUAAAAACUGAGCAGCUGUAUUUGUUAUUAACUUUUAAGUUUUCAUGAAUAAUGUUUGCCAUAAUUUUAUUACAUAUUAUUUACAAGCUGGUUUGUUUCAGAGCUAUAUACUAUGAAAAAAAUAUUAAUGAUUGAUCAGAAUUUUUAACUCUUCAUGUUCAAUUCUAGCUGCAUGAUUUAUUUGUUGGUGUCACUUGGAAUAAACACUUUAUACUAUA
Molecule: long non-coding RNA, 763 nt
Organism: Limulus polyphemus (Atlantic horseshoe crab)
Lineage: Eukaryota; Metazoa; Arthropoda; Merostomata; Xiphosura; Limulidae
Exons: 3
Source: RefSeq, a predicted model, not a curated record